Molecule: ribosomal RNA, 459 nt
Filed under: uncultured bacterium
Lineage: Bacteria
Description: partial 16S ribosomal RNA
Rfam family: Bacterial small subunit ribosomal RNA
Source: RNAcentral
CCUACGGGUGGCAGCAGUGAGGAAUAUUGGUCAAUGGGCGGAAGCCUGAACCAGCCAAGCCGCGUGAGGGACGAAGGUACAGCGUAUCGUAAACCUCUUUUGUCAGGGAACAAAGGCAGGGACUAGUCCCCGGAUGAGGGUACCUGAAGAAAAAGCAUCGGCUAACUCCGUGCCAGCAGCCGCGGUAAUACGGAGGAUGCGAGCGUUAUCCGGAUUUAUUGGGUUUAAAGGGUGCGCAGGCGGACUGUUAAGUCAGCGGUAAAAGCCCGGGGCUCAACCCCGGCGAGCCGUUGAAACUGGCUGGCUGGAGGUGGCGAGAGGUACGCGGAAUGCGCGGUGUAGCGGUGAAAUGCUUAGAUAUUGCGCAGAACCCCGAUUGCGAAGGCAGCAUACCGGCUGCAAACUGACGCUGAGGCACGAAAGCGUGGGUAUCGAACAGGAUUAGAUACCCGGGUAGUC